Molecule: Y RNA, 109 nt
Organism: Callithrix jacchus (white-tufted-ear marmoset)
Lineage: Eukaryota; Metazoa; Chordata; Mammalia; Primates; Cebidae
Rfam family: Y RNA
About the family: Y RNAs are components of the Ro ribonucleoprotein particle (Ro RNP), in association with Ro60 and La proteins. The Y RNAs and Ro60 and La proteins are well conserved, but the function of the Ro RNP is not known. In humans the RNA component can be one of four small RNAs -- hY1, hY3, hY4 and hY5.
Source: Ensembl
AGCUGGUCUGAAGUGAGUUAUCUCAAUUGAUUGUUCAUGGUCAGUUACAGAUGGAACUCCUUGUUCUACUCUUUCCCCUAUUGUCACUACUGCAUUUGACUAGGAUAUA